UGAGGAAUAUUGGUCAAUGGACGAGAGUCUGAACCAGCCAAGUAGCGUGCAGGAUGACGGCCCUAUGGGUUGUAAACUGCUUUUGUUUGGGAAUAAUCGACAUUACGUGUAAUGUUUUGCAUGUACCAUUCGAAUAAGGACCGGCUAAUUCCGUGCCAGCAGCCGCGGUAAUACGGAAGGUCCAGGCGUUAUCCGGAUUUAUUGGGUUUAAAGGGAGUGUAGGCGGUUGGUUAAGCGUGUUGUGAAAUGUAGAUGCUCAACAUCUGACUUGCAGCGCGAACUGGCUGACUUGAGUACAGACAACGUAGGCGGAAUUCAUGGUGUAGCGGUGAAAUGCUUAGAUAUCAUGAAGAACUCCGAUUGCGAAGGCAGCUUACGGGAGCGCAACUGACGCUGAAGCUCGAAGGUGCGGGUAUCGAACAGG
This 424-nucleotide ribosomal RNA is filed under the name Verrucomicrobiota bacterium. RNAcentral describes it as "Verrucomicrobia bacterium partial 16S ribosomal RNA". It matches the Rfam family "Bacterial small subunit ribosomal RNA", at positions 355 to 776 of the family's 1533-position model. The record is from RNAcentral. Lineage: Bacteria; Pseudomonadati; Verrucomicrobiota.